This 106-nucleotide small nucleolar RNA is filed under the name Sorghum bicolor (sorghum). RNAcentral's name for it is "Plant small nucleolar RNA R71". It matches the Rfam family "Plant small nucleolar RNA R71". From Rfam's summary of the family: R71 is a member of the C/D box family of snoRNAs containing the C (UGAUGA) and D (CUGA) box motifs. Multiple nearly identical copies of this snoRNA have been identified in Arabidopsis, and it is thought to function as a 2'-O-ribose methylation guide for 18S ribosomal RNA. Lineage: Eukaryota; Viridiplantae; Streptophyta; Magnoliopsida; Poales; Poaceae. The record is from Rfam by way of RNAcentral.
AUUCCAUGAUGGGGACAUUCUAGGAUGUAGUCUUGAAAACGCUCCCAUGCUUCUAGAAAGGAUUCAUCAUUUUGUUGCUGAAAACUUGUAAUCUUCCCGGAAGUGU